AUUAGUAACCUGUCUAUUUUUUAUAUGUAGAUGUUUCAGGUUUUAAGAAUAAAUUGGUUGAACCCAAAAUCUGGAGGAAGUACCUAUAUCCAUACACAGAAUAUGCCCAUUAAGAAUACUAGUCCAAAUUUGCUUUAAUGGAACGAUUAGGGCCCGAUAUAUUUGAAACUCAUGUUGGACAUAGUAUUGAGUUGGGUAGAAUAUUAUUCUACGUUAAGUGAGGAUAUCAGAUACCUAUUAUUGUACUGUAUUUUAAUAUAUACAUUAGAAUUGUUGGUUUUUUCAUAUUUGUUUUAUAUAUUAUUUUACUUACAAGUUAUAUAAAGUUAACACUAAAAUCUACUUUUUGACUUAUAUAAGUUAGUCUGUGGUUUAAUGCGUGAUUACAUCCACAUUAUGAUUUCAAGUUUUUAAAAUAUAAAUAUUAUAACUGGCUUUAAAAACUCCAUUAAACUGUUAAAAGUGUAAUUUAUUUCAAAAUAAAUAUACAUAUACCUAUACCUAGGUAUAUAUUAAUAUCGAAAAAUAUAUAUUAAUAUCGAAAGACAUUUUUAUUCCUUAACACCAAUUUAAUCAUCACAUACAUAUGUAUAAACAUUUAUUUACGUUAUUUCAAAUGAAGACCACAGGAAAAACCAGCUUUGUUCAUUUUAACUGGAGCCGAGAAAAUGCAAUUACGAGUGAACUACUCUGGUUUUUCUCCUGUAGGG
Molecule: long non-coding RNA, 710 nt
Organism: Sitophilus oryzae (rice weevil)
Lineage: Eukaryota; Metazoa; Arthropoda; Insecta; Coleoptera; Curculionidae
Exons: 2
Source: RefSeq, a predicted model, not a curated record